Calidris pugnax (ruff) is the source of this 1895-nucleotide long non-coding RNA. RefSeq lists it as uncharacterized. The record is from RefSeq and is a predicted model, not a curated record. The transcript has 3 exons. NCBI's taxonomy places the organism in Eukaryota, Metazoa, Chordata, Aves, Charadriiformes, Scolopacidae.
UAUUAUUCAACGAGAUUUCCCACCAUGAGGCCACUGGCACCAGUGUGUAAAGCUUGUGCCAAUCACUGUCAGGUGUUUUUGGAAAGACAGACCCCUAGGAAAGGUGAGAGCCUUGUAUUUUAAGCACUGGGAUCUGUGUUUGGCUGGUAAUAUAGAGGAGGACGUACCACACAAAGUGAGUCGGGGUUGCAAAUAGGCUCCUGGCAUCCGUGGUUAGUUGUAUGACUGCCAGUGGCUGUAUUUUACCUUCCAUCCCACCAGUGGGGCCUCCAGUUAAUUCAGCAGAGAUGUAGCCUGCACUGUAACUGAUGGCAUUGUAGACAUGGCUCUAAAAACUGAGUAAGUGUAAAUAGAAGAGCUUUUUUCCCAUUUGUGCUCUGAUUGCCUUAUUGACAUUUUGCAGCAUUGACAUUUUUCCUCUGUACUUGGUUUUUGUAAAUUUCUUCCCAAUACACUGGAAAUGUUGGAAGUGGCAGCUUUAUUUACUGAUGCUUUUAAACUUACUGUUUGUUUCUUUCUUUUUCUUUUUUUUUUUUCCUGGAAAGGUGGUGGGCUCCUUGGAGGAAGAACUCUGUGCCCAGCUGGCUCCUGGGGAAAUGGACUGUUCUUAGCAUUUCUCAUGUCAAUGUUUUUACUAGCAUUUCUUUCUGUUUUAUGAUUAUUUCCUGUUCUUAAUGUGUUGUGUUCUGUAUGUCAUAGCAAGCUUUUAAGUCUUUGUUUUGUAGAUAAUGGUAAAUAAAUUUUUUCUGAGUUGUUUUUUCAACAGGUGUGAGUUGUGUUCAGAGCACAGCAAAUCCUCUUUCCUAACUGUUUGGUGUGAUGCCCCGGAAUGUUUGCUGAAGUGUGAUCAGCAGAGCAGGUGCUGCUGAUUUUUACUGCAGUAGUACCAGUCGGAAGGGGAAGAGCAAAAGUGAGGAAAAACUUGUGGAUAAAGCAAAAGCCACGUGCAAAAGCAAACCAAAAGAAGGCUCCUGUAGGGGAAAAGCCCUUGGGAGCAGCGGAUGUUGUUUACUUGGUUCUGGAGGUGGUAAGUAGGAGGAGAAGAGAGUUCAGAGCAGGUAAGUGUGUGUACUUCUGGACAGUACCAUGAAGAAAUGAUUUUCAUGUGGCUUCUGCUGGUGAAGGCUGCUGGUGAGGGUUCCUACGUUGCCUUAGUGUUGAGCACUAGUUCAACCCUGGCAUCGAUGCUUUGGGUUUACUGCGCGUGAGAAGGUUCCAGUCCCACGUGGCACCAACCACCACACAGCCUUGUUGCAGUGUGUGCCUGAUGAUAUUGCCUGGAAGCUCUUCAAGUAAAGCUUUUCCGGGUGAGCUCCUGUUGUUGGGUAGUCGCGUUUACAAACCCAAGUCUCCCUGUUUGUUAGCAAUGGACCUGCUGCUUUGCAAUGAGGAAGGGCUCUCUUCUAGCUGUGGCUAGAUGUGAUCUAGAUGAAAACCAGAGGAAUGGACUUCAGCUAGUGAUGUCCAACAGACUCAUGAAACUGCCUUCUGGUUUCAGCAGUCUGGGGUUUCUUGUAAGAUUGCCGACCGCAUGUGUCACAACAGAAUUGCUUUGGUUUAACAGAAAACUGUCAGGACUGCUGAUUUUCUUUUGCCUGCCUCCAUCACAAGCGUGCUACUCCGGGAUCUGAUUCACUUCUCUUAGAUCUGAGCAGUUUUCAGCUCUGGAAGGAUUUGUGGUAUUGGUGUAAUGGUAACUUCACUGCAAUCUGAUCAGGCACUUCUUUAGAAAUAGUCAGCCGUGCGGUUGUGAAGGGACUGAAAACACAAUCAAGGGGCUGACAGAGGCCUUGGCAUGGGUUGACUGAAUUUCAGCCUGGCGAUGAGAAGGCUCUGGAAUACAGCUGCUCUGUCUCGAGGGAAACCAUCGGUCCUCGGGCAACUUCGUGCAUUAC